AUGGAUGUAGCUCAGCAGUAGAGCGCUUGCCUGGCAUGCAUGAAGCUGUGAGUUCAAUCCCCAGCACCAUC
Molecule: transfer RNA, 71 nt
Filed under: Fukomys damarensis (Damara mole-rat)
Lineage: Eukaryota; Metazoa; Chordata; Mammalia; Rodentia; Bathyergidae
Rfam family: tRNA
About the family: Transfer RNA (tRNA) molecules are approximately 80 nucleotides in length.
Source: Rfam by way of RNAcentral